This 253-nucleotide ribosomal RNA is filed under the name uncultured bacterium. Its description in RNAcentral is "partial 16S ribosomal RNA". It matches the Rfam family "Bacterial small subunit ribosomal RNA", at positions 524 to 776 of the family's 1533-position model. The record is from RNAcentral.
UACGUAGGGGGCGAGCGUUGUCCGGAUUCAUUGGGCGUAAAGAGCGUGUAGGCGGCCAGGUAGGUCGGUUGUGAAAACUGAAGGCUCAACCUUCAGACGUCGACCGAAACCAUCUGGCUAGAGUCCGGGAGAGGAGAGUGGAAUUCCUGGUGUAGCGGUGGAAUGCGCAGAUAUCAGGAAGAACACCCGUGGCGAAAGCGGCUCUCUGGAACGGUACUGACGCUGAGACGCGAAAGCGUGGGGAGCGAACAGG